CAGUCGCCGCGGUAAUACGUAGGGGGCAAGCGUUAUCCGGAAUUACUGGGUGUAAAGGGAGCGUAGACGGUUAAACAAGUCUGAAGUGAAAUGCCGGGGCUCAACCCCGGAGCUGCUUUGGGAACUGUAGAACUGGAGUGUCGGAGGGGUAAGCGGAAUUCCCAGUGUAGCGGUGAAAUGCGUAGAUAUUGGGAGGAACACCGGCGGCGAAGGCGGCUUACUGGACGACAACUGACGUUGAGGCUCGAAGGCGUGGGUAGCAAACAGGAUUAGAUACCCCGGUAGUCCCUGUCUCUUAUAA
This 301-nucleotide ribosomal RNA is filed under the name uncultured bacterium. RNAcentral's name for it is "partial 16S ribosomal RNA". It matches the Rfam family "Bacterial small subunit ribosomal RNA", at positions 509 to 809 of the family's 1533-position model. The record is from RNAcentral.